CGUCAAAUCAUCAUGCCCCUUAUGCCCUGGGCUACACACGUACUACAAUGGCCGUUAACAAUGGGCUGCAAUGCCGCAAGGUGGAGCCAAUCCCCAAAAACGGUCUCAGUUCGGAUUGUGGGCUGCAACUCGCCCACAUGAAGUUGGAAUUGCUAGUAAUCGCGAAUCAGCAUGUCGCGGUGAAUACGUUCCCGGGCCUU
This 200-nucleotide ribosomal RNA is filed under the name uncultured prokaryote. RNAcentral's name for it is "partial 16S ribosomal RNA". It matches the Rfam family "Bacterial small subunit ribosomal RNA", at positions 1183 to 1382 of the family's 1533-position model. The record is from RNAcentral.